Molecule: RNA transcript, 2684 nt
Organism: Fragaria vesca subsp. vesca
Lineage: Eukaryota; Viridiplantae; Streptophyta; Magnoliopsida; Rosales; Rosaceae
Exons: 2
Source: RefSeq, a predicted model, not a curated record
CCCACACAGACUCGACGUCGAGCAGCGGUGGAGCUCGAUCGCUCCGUCCGUCGUCCGGCCGUCUCCCGGUGCAAGGCUGGUAUCCACAGGUCCGUCUCGACGUCCCCAACCUCCCUGUGAUUCCGUCUUGAAGAGUGGAGCUCCGGUGAGAGAGAAAAGGAGGAGAGAAGGCGCUUGGGUUUCCGAUCGGAUUUCUGAUUCCGACGACGGCGGCGAGCGUGAAUGGUACUGGAAGCUUCCUCUCGUCCUCGUGGUCUUCUCUAUGUCCUCAGUUUCUUCAGAAGAGGUCGGGAGAGAAAGAUUCGAAGUGAAGGAGAGACUCGGUUCGUCGGUGAGUUUCGGAUUCCGGCCAAGUCGUGGUCUCUCACCGGUGUGGAUAGCUUUGUCUCCUCAUCCACAACGUCCCUGUAACUUCAGCUUGUCGAGAUGAGGUCAGGUGAGGGAGAAUCGAAGAGAAGAAGUCUUGGGAUUUUCCGGCAAGGGUUCGAAGCCUUCCGGCCACCGGCGAAGGCAAGUGAGGUAUGGAACUUGAUCUUCUCGUCGAGCUCUACCUGUUUAUAUAAUUGAAAUUGAGUUUUGUUGAGUUUGGAGGAAGUUGGAUUUUUGGCAGUGGGUGACUGCCGUACGUGCCGCCGUGCACGGCGGUGGUGAAGGUGUUUGAUUCGUAUCUGGUUUCGGAUUUCAUGUUUUAUGUGUACUUGAGAUGCAGUUUUGAUUGAGAAAUUGAUAAGUUGGGCGAUCUGAAGGUUUCUGUACAAUCCUUGUUCACUGUUGUUGUUGACCUUUUGGUGUUUUGAUAAUUUUCCAUGAAGUAAUCGUUUCAGAUGGUGAAGUAUGGGUGUUGAUACACAAGAUUUCCAGUUUGGUUUAAUUAUAGAAGAAUCGGAAUAUUGGACAUUGACUUGCUGUAUUGAUAUUGAAAGAAGCUAGUAGUAAUUUGUUAUGCUAAAUUUCAAGGACGGAAGAGUUGGGUGAUUGGCAGGAACAUAAUUACACUGCUAUGUUGCUUGAAUUCCAAAUUGGAGAAUUUGUGUUGACAAUGGGUUUGAUAGUUGAUAGUGGAAUGAUGUUGGAGAAACUGUGAUCCAGGUGGGUUGAGUUGGAUGCAGUUUGGGAAGAAAUGCAGAUUUAAGGAUUUGGGUGUCCAAAGAUGGGUGUCCAAAGUAAGUAUGGAGACCACAGAUUUUGUCUUAUCAACUGUGGAGAGGAACGGAGCUAUAUAUGUAGAUAGUAUAUUGUCAUAGUUUAAGGGUUGGAAUCAUAAGGCAUAUGAAUCCGGUAAGGUGAGUUAAAGCAAUGAUCGAUUAAUUCGAUCUAUUAUUUGGAGCACAAUUGUGAAUUUGGAUACUAUGACAGGAUUGAGCAGUGAACGACAAAGAAUUGGAAAUAAGAUUUUGGGUGUCCAGAAUAAAUAUUGGAAUUUGAACGAGUUGAAUUGAAGUGAUUCGCCGACUUUCUCGGAAAGAAGAUUUAGUACGAGGAUCGAAUGCAAGUAGUAGGAUUCCAGGGAUAAAGAUUUCAGAAUACGUGUCGCAGAGUUAACUAAUUUUAGUUAGCGUCGGAGUCAAAGCUCGGAUUCCAGAAGUUUUUUGUGCUGCAGGGCACCAAGUUGACCAAAUCGUCUGUAUAUCAUCCACAAACAAAUGGUCAAACUGAAAACUUGAAUAGAACUCCUGAACAAUAUCUUAGAUGUGUUAUUGGGGAGCAUCCAGGUAAUUGGGUUAAGGCAUUACCUCGGGCAGAGUUCUGGUAUAAUUCAGCUUUCCAUUCUGCUAUAUAGAUGAGUCCUUUCCAGGCAUUGUAUGGAUAUCAGCCUCCAUCCAUCAAACCCUACUUGCCAGGCUCAACUGCAGUAGCAUAGGUGGAUCAAGACCUGCAAGAUCGAGAAACUCUAUUGUCUACUCUUAAGAAGAACAUGGAAUUAGCUCAGGCAAGGAUGAAAUAUUUCUAUGACAGGAAACACUCUGAGAGGGAAUUUAAUUUGGAUGAUUGGGUUUAUCUGAAAUUGCAGCAUUACAAGCAACAAUUUGUGAAGCAACAAGGGUGGCAUAAACUCUCACCUUGGUAUUUUGGCUCUUUUCAGGUCAUUGAAAGAGUUGGGAAGGUAGCAUACAAGCUGAGAUUGCCUAGCACAACAAAGGAUUCACAAUGUGUUUCAUGUGUCCUUACUGAAGAAAAAGCUGGGAGAUGCAGUGCCUAUUUCGCCGCAGUUGCCUCCAAUUGUGGAUCCAGCCAGUCAAAAGUGGGUACCACCGGUGGUUUUGGACUGAAGAAUGUAUAAGAAAAAAGGAGCAGCUGGAACUCAAUGGUUAGUGUAGUGGAAGGAUAAAUCUCCAGAAGAGGCCACAUGGGAGGAUUCAGAGAUGAUGAAACAACGUUUUCCAGGUUUUGAUCAAUAUGAUACUUGAGUUGCUGCAAGUGCUUAUGCCAGAAACUUGAGGAUAAGUUUUAUUGGUAGGAGGGUGGAUUGUUAGGGAGCCAAGUGUUAGUCUUCCUUUUUUAUCUAGGAGAGUUGUUUUGUUAGGUAAAAACACAACAUGUCAGUAGUGAUAAGUUUAGCUGUGGUGAGCUAUCCGUAAUGAGUGCCCUUGUGACACGUUGCAGUUAUGUGCACGUCUUAUCUAUAUGAAGAUGUAGCCCCUCAUUGUAUGAACUUAUCCAGAUUAAUAUCAAGGAUUAAUUAC